GAAAAUUGGAAGAAUAUUCUGGUAAGAAAUUUGCUUCUCUCUUACCAGAAUAGAAAACUUUCUUUUUCUUAAUUUGCUGGUUCAUUUUCUAGGCAACUGCCCUUCUGUUUUGCCGUUUUAUCAGCUCUCUUUGGUCUGCGAGCGGGGAGGCCUCCCUUUCCUUGAUCCAGUUAUGGGUCUCCCUCUCUAUCCCUGAGUUGGAGUAUUGUUAUUUUUUUUCUUUUUUAUUUUUUGGUGGUGUCUUUUUGCAGCUGAAGCUAUUGUUGUCUUUUUUUCUUUCUUCUUUGGAAGUUUGCUUUUGCAAGGAUCAUUAAGGGAGCAAUCUAUGCUACUCUUGAUCUUAAUCUAGAGACAAGGUGUAGCAAGCAACUGCAUGUCUUCCUUGCAUGGCUCAAUCCUGCUUUUCCGAGUUUGUUAGAGCUCCAGGGUUGUUUGCCUUUGAUCCCUUAUUUCCUCCUAGCUUUGAUUAGUUUCCUAUGUCUGGUUUGAUGAUCUCGUCUGGGAGCCAACAGUUUUGAGAACUUUGUAUUUUCCUUCGGCGACAGUGCAUAGAUGGUCAGAUCGUGUUGCUGAAUCCGAGUUGGACCCCCAGAUUAGCCUGG
RNAcentral lists this long non-coding RNA (602 nucleotides) under Manihot esculenta (cassava). RNAcentral's name for it is "long non-coding RNA (MESC_LNC001896)". The record is from RNAcentral. Lineage: Eukaryota; Viridiplantae; Streptophyta; Magnoliopsida; Malpighiales; Euphorbiaceae.